CGCGCGCUAUCUAGCGGGAGAGAGGAGGGAGCGUUGGAGGAACCGGAUGAAGACCAGUUUCAUUGCGAUUAUGAUCAUCGUGAUGACCGCAGCUCUCUUCUAUGUGAUGGUAGUUUAGAUGGUCGAUAUCGACUUGUAAUGUGAAGACAAACUCGGUACUCGCGGUCUCGAGACUUGUAAUGUUUUAACUUUGUUCGGUAUU
RNAcentral lists this long non-coding RNA (202 nucleotides) under Hordeum vulgare. RNAcentral's name for it is "long non-coding RNA (HVUL_LNC011839)". Lineage: Eukaryota; Viridiplantae; Streptophyta; Magnoliopsida; Poales; Poaceae. The record is from RNAcentral.